Non-coding RNA from Oryctolagus cuniculus (rabbit), 710 nucleotides. NCBI's taxonomy places the organism in Eukaryota, Metazoa, Chordata, Mammalia, Lagomorpha, Leporidae. The record is from RefSeq and is a predicted model, not a curated record.
UGUUGGUUCAUGUCCUGGCUGCUUCACUUUUGAUCCUGCUCCCUGCUAAUGGCCUGAGAAAGCAGUGCAAGAUGGCUCAUGAGCUUAGGCCCCUGAACUCAUCUAGGAGACCUGAAUGAAGAUCCUGGCUUCUGGUUUUGGCCUGGCCCAGUGCUGUCCAUUAUGGUCAUCUGUAAGCGAACAAGCAGUUGGAAGAUCUUUUUCUUUCGCUUUGUCUAUUCCUCUCUCUCUUUGUAAUUGGACUUUGAAAAUGAUUCUGAAGGUUGAAUCCUGAAAUCAAGGUUCUUGCCAGGCCAUGCUACAUAACAAGCUUCUGGGAUCAAAUUUCAACACAUUAUAUCAUGGAAAGCCCUCAAACCAUUGCCAAACCACAGAAGAAACAGACUUACUCUCUACCUGAGUCAAGCAGAGUAUUUGGAAUGGACAUGAUGAUUCACCUCCCUACCAAGAAUAUUUUUUAUUAGAGCAUCAUUUUGAAUCAUCUUCUUGGUAAUGUACCUGUGGAAGAUAGCAGAGGAUGGCCAAGUACCUGGACCACUGCCACCCUCUUGGGAGACCUGGAUAGAGUUCCUGGCUUCUGGAUUUGGCUUACUCUAGCCCUGCCUAUUGUCUUUCAAAUAAAUGAAUUUUUAAAAAGUAAAAUUUUGCCUGAAAUAUAAUUAUCCUACUCCUUUGUUUGCCUUUUGACUUUUUUAUGCUUAUUCAUUUUU